AACGAGCGCUGGCGGCAUGCCUAACACAUGCAAGUCGAACGAGACCUUCGGGUCUAGUGGCGCACGGGUGCGUAACGCGUGGGAACCUGCCCUUAGGUUCGGAAUAACUCCCCGAAAGGGGUGCUAAUACCGGAUAAUGUCUUCGGACCAAAGAUUUAUCGCCUUUGGAUGGGCCCGCGUUGGAUUAGCUAGUUGGUAGGGUAAAAGCCUACCAAGGCGACGAUCCAUAGCUGGUCUGAGAGGAUGAUCAGCCACACUGGGACUGAGACACGGCCCAGACUCCUACGGGAGGCAGCAGGGGGGAAUAUUGGACAAGGGGCGAAAGCCUGAUCCAGCAAGGCCGCGUGAGUGAUGAAGGCCUUAGGGUUGUAAAGCUCUUUUACCCGGGAUGAUAAUGACAGUACCGGGAGAAUAAGCUCCGGCGAACUCCGU
This 432-nucleotide ribosomal RNA is filed under the name uncultured bacterium. RNAcentral describes it as "partial 16S ribosomal RNA". It matches the Rfam family "Bacterial small subunit ribosomal RNA", at positions 29 to 506 of the family's 1533-position model. The record is from RNAcentral.